CUCAUUGAACCCCUGUAGAGAGGGCCAACAGACCUUUGUAUGAUGUUUAGAAGUGCAUUAAGAGCCCAGGCAGUUCUUUCCGUGGUACACAACAUUUCUCUCUUUUGAAAGACAUUUUCUCUCUCUCUUUUGUCCCCUCUUGGCUUUAACCUUCUGAAUGCAUUUUAACUCUAUUACACUGAAAGGACACCCACGAGGCUUCACAAAUACAUGCUGGUGACCCUUUGACACAGGAGGAAAGUUGGAACAUAUAACAUUCUUUUCAAAUGAAGAACUCCAGGAAGAAAGAGAAAGAAGAAAUGGUUGCUGGAAGAUUUUUCUUUUCAUUUGGUGGUGGUAGUAGUAAUAGCAAUAGCAAUAACAAUCAGUCUAGAAGAAAGUCCAUUCCUUUCCCUGCCACUUUGAUUAUUUUAAAUUACUUCCCAAAUACAGGUUCAACACCAGAAAGAAUCUGGUAUUCUGGAAUAAUUCUGCUCACAUUGAUAAUUAUAUAGUAUAUAGCAAGAUGGUAAGUCACCUUCAGGCAUUCAUAAGUCCUAUUCAUGGAGAUGGAAUAAGGUUAUGUGUGGCGAUCCCACCCUCUCUACUCUGAAGCUUCCUCUAUUGCGUG
Molecule: long non-coding RNA, 610 nt
Filed under: Podarcis lilfordi (Lilford's wall lizard)
Lineage: Eukaryota; Metazoa; Chordata; Lepidosauria; Squamata; Lacertidae
Source: RNAcentral